This 578-nucleotide ribosomal RNA is filed under the name Bradyrhizobium sp. Its description in RNAcentral is "bacterial SSU rRNA". It matches the Rfam family "Bacterial small subunit ribosomal RNA", at positions 189 to 784 of the family's 1533-position model. Lineage: Bacteria; Pseudomonadati; Pseudomonadota; Alphaproteobacteria; Hyphomicrobiales; Nitrobacteraceae. The record is from RNAcentral.
AAGCCCUUACGGGGAAAGAUUUAUCGCCGAAAGAUCGGCCCGCGUCUGAUUAGCUAGUUGGUGAGGUAAUGGCUCACCAAGGCGACGAUCAGUAGCUGGUCUGAGAGGAUGAUCAGCCACAUUGGGACUGAGACACGGCCCAAACUCCUACGGGAGGCAGCAGUGGGGAAUAUUGGACAAUGGGCGCAAGCCUGAUCCAGCCAUGCCGCGUGAGUGAUGAAGGCCCUAGGGUUGUAAAGCUCUUUUGUGCGGGAAGAUAAUGACGGUACCGCAAGAAUAAGCCCCGGCUAACUUCGUGCCAGCAGCCGCGGUAAUACGAAGGGGGCUAGCGUUGCUCGGAAUCACUGGGCGUAAAGGGUGCGUAGGCGGGUCUUUAAGUCAGGGGUGAAAUCCUGGAGCUCAACUCCAGAACUGCCUUUGAUACUGAAGAUCUUGAGUUCGGGAGAGGUGAGUGGAACUGCGAGUGUAGAGGUGAAAUUCGUAGAUAUUCGCAAGAACACCAGUGGCGAAGGCGGCUCACUGGCCCCGAUACUGACGCUGAGGCACGAAAAGCGUGGGGAGCAAACAGGGAUUAGAUA